GUGGGAGCAAGGCUUGCCCGCGAUGAACGAUAAUGCGGUCUUGCUAUAGACCGCGGUGCCUUCAUCGCGGGCAAGCCUUGCUCCCAC
This 87-nucleotide unclassified non-coding RNA is filed under the name Pseudomonas kilonensis. The record is from RNAcentral. Lineage: Bacteria; Pseudomonadati; Pseudomonadota; Gammaproteobacteria; Pseudomonadales; Pseudomonadaceae.